Molecule: long non-coding RNA, 211 nt
Filed under: Fukomys damarensis (Damara mole-rat)
Lineage: Eukaryota; Metazoa; Chordata; Mammalia; Rodentia; Bathyergidae
Description: lncRNA (ENSFDAG00000027568.1)
Source: RNAcentral
GGCUGGUUUAGAUAACACAAAGUUGCUGGCCAUGUCCUGAGAGAUGGAUCCAGAACACACAGUUAUGUGGGAAUUUAAAGUAUAAUUCCAAAUUGCAGGAGUGCAUAAGGGUUGGCAGGAACAGAAGCAAGCAGCUUACCUCUCAGCCCUGGGCGAGGCAGACUGCAGCUCAUUGGCCAAGUCUCACCACUUCUUGCUUUAAUAAGGCCUA